GAAAUGCGAUACUUGGUGUGAAUUGCAGAAUCCCGUGAACCAUCGAGUCUUUGAACGCACCUUGCGCUCCUUGGUAUUCCGAGGAGCAUGCCUGUUUGAGUGUCAUGAAACUCUCAAACCCAAGUUUUGGAUUUCGAUCCAUGCUUGAGUUUGGAUUUGGAUGUUUGCCGGUGAUAAGCCGACUCAUCUUAAAAGUAUUAGCUAGAUCUGUCUCUAUGACUGGUUUGACUUGGCAUAAUAAGUAUUUUGCUGAGGACAUCUUCGGAUGGCCAGGACCUAGACUAUUGUCUGCUAACUAAACCAUCACUUUAAGUGCAUCUUUGGAUGUUACUCAUUGUGUAACUUUGACAUCUGGCCUCAAAUCAGGUAGGACUACCCGCUGAACUUAA
Molecule: unclassified non-coding RNA, 389 nt
Filed under: uncultured Filobasidium
Lineage: Eukaryota; Fungi; Basidiomycota; Tremellomycetes; Filobasidiales; Filobasidiaceae
Description: sequence contains ITS1
Rfam family: 5.8S ribosomal RNA (bases 1-105)
Source: RNAcentral